UAACGAAUAAUCCGCAAUGGGCGAAAGCCUGACGGUGCGACGCCGCGUGGAGGAUGAAUUCCUUCGGGAUGUAAACUCCUUUUAGGGAAAUGAAAGUGAAGCGCGCUAACAUCGCGCUAGCUGAUCUAUCCCAGAAAAAGCCUCGGCUAAACCCGUGCCAGCAGCCGCGGUAAUACGGGUGAGGCAAGCGUUGUUCGGAAUCAUUGGGCUUAAAGCGCGUGUAGGCGGCGGCGUAAGUACCUUGUGAAAUCCCUUCUCUCAAAGGAGGAAUUGCUGGGUAUACUGCGAUGCUUGAGGCAGGUAGGGGUGCUUGGAACUCUAGGUGGAGCGGUGAAAUGCGUAGAUAUCUAGAGGAACGCCAGUGGCGAAAGCGGAGCACUGGGCCUGUCCUGACGCUGAGACGCGAAAGCGUAGGUAGCAAACGGGAUUAGAUACCCCCGUAGUCC
This 446-nucleotide ribosomal RNA is filed under the name uncultured bacterium. Its description in RNAcentral is "bacterial SSU rRNA". It matches the Rfam family "Bacterial small subunit ribosomal RNA", at positions 355 to 796 of the family's 1533-position model. The record is from RNAcentral.